This 277-nucleotide long non-coding RNA is filed under the name Phoenix dactylifera (date palm). RNAcentral describes it as "long non-coding RNA (PDAC_LNC012217)". The record is from RNAcentral. Lineage: Eukaryota; Viridiplantae; Streptophyta; Magnoliopsida; Arecales; Arecaceae.
AGAAACAAAGAAGGGAGAGAAGAUUUUUAGUUAUUUUGGGAAUAACUUCCCAUAAGAGUUAAGAAGGAGCCGUUCUCAAGGGAAUCGCAAGAGGGAGAGAUGGGAGCCCGCUGCUGUGCUGCUGCUGCCGUCUCCAACUCCAUGCAGGGCUGAUCUUCUCACUAGGGCCGGAUGCAGCCCUAAUAAAGGGCCAAGGGUUUUAUAUUUUGAUUUCUAUUCUUGGAGUUGUAUAAACCUUAUUUUGCUUCUAAUGAAUAUUUUAUUUCAUCUCAUAUUU